This 118-nucleotide ribosomal RNA is filed under the name Lepisosteus oculatus (spotted gar). Lineage: Eukaryota; Metazoa; Chordata; Actinopteri; Semionotiformes; Lepisosteidae. The record is from RNAcentral.
GCCAGGAGCUAUAUCAGCCUGAAACUCACAACUGGAAACCCACAGAAGCUAAGCAGGUAUGAACCUGGCCAGUCCCUAAAUGGGAGACCUCCUGGGAAAGCUUAGUUUGCUGCUGGAA